Molecule: long non-coding RNA, 454 nt
Organism: Pan troglodytes (chimpanzee)
Lineage: Eukaryota; Metazoa; Chordata; Mammalia; Primates; Hominidae
Exons: 2
Source: RefSeq, a predicted model, not a curated record
AGAGGGGUCGGAUGUGGGGCGAGUUGGGCAGAAGAGGAACCGCAGAUGCCGGGUGGCGGGAGAGGGGCUGGGGCUGCAGGGAGACAGGACCCGAUUUCUGCCUAGCAACAUCACAACCAAUCAAGAUGCAAUUAAACCUGUCAGUUCGGCUCAUCCUUAACUGGGAUUGGCUACUCGCAGUAUGCUUAUCCCAAGUUUUCAUUGGCUGACGGCCACCUGUAUGGAAAUAAGAAUUACCCGGGACUCUCAGGCCCUUCUCAGCAGUACGGACCUGUGGCUUAGUGCGCUGAAACCUGCAAGGUCGGAGCCGAAACUCCUGGGCUUGCUUGUUGUCCUGCCUUCUCUUCCUCAAAGGAGAUCUCUUGAAUAUUCCCUUUUCCCUCUGCGCCCCUGCCUAAGGCCUAGUCUGAAAGAAGUCCGACCAAAUAACCUGAAAUAAUGCGGAUUUGCAUGC